Molecule: unclassified non-coding RNA, 112 nt
Organism: Cavia aperea (Brazilian guinea pig)
Lineage: Eukaryota; Metazoa; Chordata; Mammalia; Rodentia; Caviidae
Rfam family: Y RNA
About the family: Y RNAs are components of the Ro ribonucleoprotein particle (Ro RNP), in association with Ro60 and La proteins.
Source: Ensembl
GGCUGGCCCGAAGAUAGUGAGUUAUCUCAAUUGAUUGUUCAGAGUCAAUAUAGAUUGAAUUCCUUGUUCUACUCUUUCCCCCUUUCUCACUACUGCACUUGACGAGUCUUGA